Molecule: ribosomal RNA, 1016 nt
Filed under: Tricladium varicosporioides
Lineage: Eukaryota; Fungi; Ascomycota; Leotiomycetes; Helotiales; Tricladiaceae
Description: SSU rRNA
Rfam family: Bacterial small subunit ribosomal RNA (bases 259-1016)
Source: RNAcentral
GGGUGAUGUAUAGCUUCGGCUAUUUAUACUUGGCCGUUUAAAUUAUUAUAAGCUAUUAAUAGUCUAUAAUAGUUUAUUCGUUAUAACCGUAUACAUAUGUAUACGGUUAGCAUUACUAAUGCGUCAAUAUUAUUAGGUGCGUUAAUAUUCUUAGUUUUUAAAACUAUAAUAUUAAUUUAUUAACUUAAGAAACCCUUUUUUUUAUUUUUUAAGUAAGUGCUUCUUGAAGCCAGGGAUAUAUAUUUCUUGUUUGUUGACCGCAAGAAUAUAAUAAUCUUUUAAAAGGAGAGUAUACAAGUAUAAAAUCGAUUUUUUCGAAUAAAGUUCUAGAUAAAAAACUGAUUAUGACAAUUUUUAAAAUCUAUAUGUCUUGACCAAAAUGCGUGCCAGCAGUCGCGGCAAUACGUAUAAGACUAGUGUUAUUCAUCUUUAAUAGGUUUAAAGGGUACCUAGACGGUAUAAUUAGUCUUAAACAGGAUACGGUUAUACUAGAGUUAUAUAUGAGGAGGGGAGUAUUUAUGGAGUAGAGUUGAAAUUCUUUGAUACCAUAACGACUGGUAACGGCGAAAGCAACCUUUUAUCUAAUAACUGACGUUGAGGGACGAAGGCUCGGGUAACGAACAGGAUUAGAUACCCUAGUAGUCCAAGCAGAGAAUUAUGAAUGCCAUAGGUUAGAUAUUUUUAGCCUAUAAAUGAAAGUGUAAGCAUUUCACCUCAAGAGUAAUGUGGCAACGCAGGAACUGAAAUCAUUAGACCGUUUCUGAAACCAGUAGUGAAGUAUGUUAUUUAAUUCGUAAUUACGCGAAAAACCUUACCACAAUUUGAAUAUUAUUUACUAUAAAUAUAUAUAAUUGUAUAUACUUAUGUAAAUAUUACAAGCGUUGCACGGCUGUCUUCAGUUAAUGUCGUGAGAUAUUGGUUAAUUCCAUUAAAUUAACGGAAACCCUUGCUUUAUUUGUAUUUUUGAUAAAUAAAGCAGUACACCUUUAUAACGGUUAUGUUAAUAGGGCCAAGAC